This 403-nucleotide ribosomal RNA is filed under the name uncultured bacterium. RNAcentral's name for it is "bacterial SSU rRNA". It matches the Rfam family "Bacterial small subunit ribosomal RNA", at positions 28 to 412 of the family's 1533-position model. The record is from RNAcentral.
GACGAACGCUGGCGGCGUGCUUAACACAUGCAAGUCGAACGGAGUACCCUUGACUGAGGUUUCGGCCAAAUGAUAGGAAUGCUUAGUGGCGGACUGGUGAGUAACGCGUGAGGAACCUACCUUCCAGAGGGGGACAACAGUUGGAAACGACUGCUAAUACCGCAUGACGCAUGACCGGGGCAUCCCGGGCAUGUCAAAGAUUUUAUCGCUGGAAGAUGGCCUCGCGUCUGAUUAGCUAGAUGGUGGGGUAACGGCCCACCAUGGCGACGAUCAGUAGCCGGACUGAGAGGUUGACCGGCCACAUUGGGACUGAGAUACGGCCCAGACUCCUACGGGAGGCAGCAGUGGGGAAUAUUGGGCAAUGGACGCAAGUCUGACCCAGCAACGCCGCGUGAAGGAAGAA